This 498-nucleotide ribosomal RNA is filed under the name uncultured bacterium. Its description in RNAcentral is "bacterial SSU rRNA". It matches the Rfam family "Bacterial small subunit ribosomal RNA", at positions 66 to 543 of the family's 1533-position model. The record is from RNAcentral.
ACGCGAAAGCCCCCUUCGGGGGGCAAGUAGAGUGGCGCACGGGUGAGUAACACGUAGGUAAUCUACCUUUGGAUGGGGAAUAACCACCGGAAACGGUGGCUAAUACCGCAUAAUGCAGCGGCACCUAAUGGUGACAGUUGUUAAAGCGGGGGAUCGCAAGACCUCGCGUCUGAAGAGGAGCCUGCGGCGGAUUAGCUAGUUGGUAGGGUAACGGCUUACCAAGGCGAUGAUCCGUAGCCGGCCUGAGAGGGCGGUCGGCCACACUGACACUGACGUACGGGUCAGACUCCUACGGGAGGCAGCAGUCGGGAAUUUUGGGCAAUGGGCGAAAGCCUGACCCAGCAACGCCGCGUGAAGGAUGAAAUCCCUCGGGAUGUAAACUUCGCAAGAACGGGAAGAAUAAGUCUGCGCAAAUAUCGCAGAUGAUGACGGUACCGUUUGUAAGCUCCGGCUAACUCCGUGCCAGCAGCCGCGGUAAUACGGGGGGAGCAAGCGUUG